RNAcentral lists this unclassified non-coding RNA (211 nucleotides) under Hevea brasiliensis (rubber tree). The record is from RNAcentral. Lineage: Eukaryota; Viridiplantae; Streptophyta; Magnoliopsida; Malpighiales; Euphorbiaceae.
CAUAACUCAAGACUGAAACUUGUUAACUUCAGGAAUUUGGAUUCCCAUGCCUUGUAGGUACAAAAAUUAGGUAACUGAUGUCUGGGAAUCCAUUCAAGAGUAUNNAAUCCAUUCAAGAGUAUAUUUUCUUCUUAUCCAUUUUGAAGGUUUUCAGAUAUUAAGGCCUUGUUAGGUAUUCUCAUCUCCAAGUAUCAUUCUGAUGCCUCCCCCG